UAUAUGUAUAUAUACAUACACACACAUAAAUA
This 32-nucleotide microRNA is filed under the name Vombatus ursinus (common wombat). RNAcentral describes it as "miRNA (ENSVURG00010014332.1)". The record is from RNAcentral. Lineage: Eukaryota; Metazoa; Chordata; Mammalia; Diprotodontia; Vombatidae.